Magallana angulata is the source of this 1354-nucleotide long non-coding RNA. RefSeq lists it as uncharacterized. Lineage: Eukaryota; Metazoa; Mollusca; Bivalvia; Ostreida; Ostreidae. The transcript has 4 exons. The record is from RefSeq and is a predicted model, not a curated record.
UGGCUGCUUGACAUAUUCCUGGAAGAGGUCACCAACUAGCUAACACAUUCAAUGACAGAUGUCUCUUUGAAUUGAUAAAAUCAUAAUCAAAUGGAUAUAAUACAGAAGUUUCAAAGAUUUGUUUUGAUGUAGCCUGAAGAUUUUGUAAUGAAUGAUCCAGGAUCCAAAAGUUCUUCACGGAGUUCAAAGACAGUAGCAAUGUGGUUGCUAAUUUAGUGACAGAUUAAGAAAGAAGUUCAAACAAGCAUUGUCAUGGGAAAACAUUAAAAAGGAAGAAGUUGGAGGUGGACAAAAAUCAGGAUGAAUAUACUAGAGAAACUAUUAAAGCACAGAAGAAUGACAACAAUAUAAAUCUAAAUGUAAUCAUUCAAGGAAUUAAAUUCAUUUUUAAUCUCGAAACUGUCUUUUUUCUGUAACUCUAAUUUUAGAUUAACAAGUAGCUGGAAAUGCAAAAUGGAUGUUUCCAAAGAUCCACUGAAGUUACUGAGUAAUUAAUUGAAAGGAUUCAAGCAGCAAGAUGAAGUAUAUCAAGAAUGAACUGAAAAAUUAAAAUAUUCAAGUAAUUUAAUUUUAAGCAAUUUACAUGUGAUACGUAUGUAAUUCAUGUGAAAAACGUACGUUGGAUCCACAUACGUAAAACGUAUGGAAUGUUUCACGUAUGUCUAACACACGUGUAACAUACGUUUCACAUAUGUUCAUUAACGUACGUUAAACACACGUGGUACUUAAAUCACGUUAAACGUACGUGAGGUCACAUACGUAUCACACACGUUUAACGUAUGUGAAACGUAUGUGGCACAUUUUGCUGUGUACACAGUUUUCUUUUUCCCGAUUCAAACACAUUUUUCACUAACUCCGAAUCAGUUGGAGGAUGUAAUCCAAUUACGGAAUACGCCCAACGAAUGCCAUAAACAGCCGACGUUAACACACUUACAGAAACUCCUUCUUGAAUUAAACUGGCAAAAGAUGAAUACUAACAAUUAAUGGUUUUCUUGAAGAUCCUUGUUCAAUCACUACAACAUUCUUCUUCAACCAAUCGUCCCAUUUCUUGUAACUUCUAUAAAAACCUUUCACUGUAGAACUUUCUCUACUUUCGGACAAUAAUUCCGGUAUAUCAUGAAUUUUUUCCCGCAAAAUUUCUGGAAGGAUGGAUAUAUCUUCAUCAUAUGCCUGCAAAAAUAUUUGUAUCAACAAAAUUAUUUAUAUAAUAUUGUCUACUUAUAACACAUGCAAUAUUAAAACAUACAUCAUCUUCUACAAUCAAUGUACAAUCCCAGCAAGGGAAAAUUUAAAUCAGUAUUUCCAAACAUUGUCCCAACACUUCUUCCACUCAUAAAAAUUGUUUAUCACUGGG